CUUCACCGAGCCGAGCCACAGCGGCCGGUCCGCGUCGCGGUUCUGCCCGUAGGUGGCGAGGACGGCCUGCGCCUC
Non-coding RNA from Streptomycetaceae bacterium MP113-05, 75 nucleotides. It matches the Rfam family "ASpks TB sRNA". The record is from Rfam. Lineage: Bacteria; Bacillati; Actinomycetota; Actinomycetes; Kitasatosporales; Streptomycetaceae.